AGCAGCCGCGGUAAUUCCAGCUCCAAUAGCGUAUAUUAAAGUUGUUGCAGUUAAAAAGCUCGUAGUUGAAUUUCGGGAUCAGUACGCUGGUCAUGCCUUUGGUAUGCACUGGUGUCACUGGUUUCUCCCUUCUGAAGAACCGUGAUGUCAUUAAUUUGGUGUCGCGGGGAAUCAGGACUGUUACUUUGAAAAAUUAGAGUGUUUAAAGCAGGCUCACGCUUGAAUACAUUAGCAUGGAAUAAUGAAAUAGGACGUUUGACCCUAUUUUGUUGGUUUCUAGGAUCGACGUAAUGAUUAAUAGGGAUAGUUGGGGGCAUUAGUAUUCAAUUGUCAGAGGUGAAAUUCUUGGAUUUAUUGAAGACUAACUACUGCGAAAGCAUUUGCCAAGGAUGUUUUCAUUAAUCAAGAACGAAAGUUAGGGGAUCGAAGACGAUCAGAUACCGUCGUAGUCUUAACCAUAAACUAUGCCGACUAGGGAUCGGAUGAUGUUAAUUUUAUAAUGA
Molecule: ribosomal RNA, 503 nt
Filed under: uncultured Glomus
Lineage: Eukaryota; Fungi; Glomeromycota; Glomeromycetes; Glomerales; Glomeraceae
Description: SSU rRNA
Rfam family: Eukaryotic small subunit ribosomal RNA
Source: RNAcentral